This 216-nucleotide long non-coding RNA is filed under the name Pan troglodytes (chimpanzee). RNAcentral describes it as "long non-coding RNA NONPTRT002641". Lineage: Eukaryota; Metazoa; Chordata; Mammalia; Primates; Hominidae. The record is from RNAcentral.
AAUGUGAAAAAGUGAAUAUCCAAAGAUAAAAAUUAGAAGGAAGCCAUCAGAGAAAAUGAAAAAGGCCUAUGAUGAAACUAGAAACAAGCUUUCUGAGAAAGUGCUUUGUGAUGUGUCCAUUCAUCUCAGAGAGUUAAACCUUUCUUUGGAUUCAUCAGUUUGGAAACACUGUUUUUGUCCAUUGUGCGAAUGGACAUUUGGAAGUUCAUUGAGGCC